GACACAGAAGUCCAGCUGAUGCCAGACAGC
Molecule: non-coding RNA, 30 nt
Filed under: Homo sapiens (human)
Lineage: Eukaryota; Metazoa; Chordata; Mammalia; Primates; Hominidae
Source: RNAcentral